Molecule: ribosomal RNA, 235 nt
Filed under: Clostridioides sp. ZZV14-6104
Lineage: Bacteria; Bacillati; Bacillota; Clostridia; Peptostreptococcales; Peptostreptococcaceae
Description: partial 23S ribosomal RNA
Rfam family: Bacterial large subunit ribosomal RNA
Source: RNAcentral
UACUACCGAAGCUACGGCAUCAGUAAUGAUGGGUAGGGGAGCUUCCCAUACGGGUUGAAGCAUGACCGUAAGGACAUGUGGACAGUAUGGGAGUGAGAAUGUUGGCAUGAGUAGCGAGAUGUGGGUGGGAAUCCCACAGGCCGUAAACCCAAGGUUUCCAGGGGAAGGUUCGUCCGCCCUGGGUUAGUCGGGACCUAAGCUGAGGCCGAAAGGCGUAGGUGAUGGACAACAGGUU